Molecule: ribosomal RNA, 254 nt
Filed under: uncultured bacterium
Lineage: Bacteria
Description: partial 16S ribosomal RNA
Rfam family: Bacterial small subunit ribosomal RNA
Source: RNAcentral
UACGUAGGGUGCGAGCGUUGUCCGGAAUUAUUGGGCGUAAAGAGCUCGUAGGCGGUCUGUCGCGUCGGCCGUGAAAACCUGUGGCUUAACCAUGGGCUUGCGGUCGAUACGGGCAUCACUGGAGUUCGGCAGGGGAGACUGGAAUUCCUGGUGUAGCGGUGAAAUGCGCAGAUAUCAGGAGGAACACCGGUGGCGAAGGCGGGUCUCUGGGCAACAACUGACGCUGAGGAGCGAAAGCGUGGGGAGCGAACAGG